AGCUGGUGCAUCUAGCGGCUUUCUCCUCCCCAGCCGCUGCAGCAGCUGUUCCCCUCUGGAGGUUUGAAACCUUCACAACUGAAAGGGCCCAAGUUUCUUGUGGCCCUCUUUUUUUGUCGGCA
This 122-nucleotide small RNA is filed under the name Sinorhizobium meliloti 2011. Its description in RNAcentral is "suhB". It matches the Rfam family "Alphaproteobacterial ar15". The record is from RNAcentral. Lineage: Bacteria; Pseudomonadati; Pseudomonadota; Alphaproteobacteria; Hyphomicrobiales; Rhizobiaceae.